Molecule: transfer RNA, 67 nt
Filed under: Marmota monax (woodchuck)
Lineage: Eukaryota; Metazoa; Chordata; Mammalia; Rodentia; Sciuridae
Description: tRNA.Ala
Source: RNAcentral
GGAUUGUGGUUCAGCGGUAGUGCGCUCACCUAGCACGGGCGCUGCCUGGGUUCGAUCCUCAGCACCA